This 463-nucleotide ribosomal RNA is filed under the name uncultured bacterium. RNAcentral's name for it is "partial 16S ribosomal RNA". It matches the Rfam family "Bacterial small subunit ribosomal RNA", at positions 28 to 507 of the family's 1533-position model. The record is from RNAcentral.
GAUGAACGCUGACAGAAUGCUUAACACAUGCAAGUCUUUGGCGAAGCUGUGCUUGCACAGCCUAGCCAAGGCGGACGGGUGAGUAACGCGUAAGGAACUUGCCCUGCAGUCAGGGAUAACAGACGGAAACGACUGAUAAGACCUGGUAAAGUCAGGCGGACUCAUGUCCAGCCUGAUGAAAGGAGAUGCUGCAGGAGAGCCUUGCGUCCUAUUAGCUUGUUGGUGGGGUAACGGCCCACCAAGGCGAUGAUAGGUAGCCGGCCUGAGAGGGUGGACGGCCACAAGGGGACUGAGAUACGGCCCUUACUCCUACGGGAGGCAGCAGUGGGGAAUAUUGGACAAUGGGGGCAACCCUGAUCCAGCAAUUCUGCGUGCACGAUGAAGGUUUUCGGAUUGUAAAGUGCUUUCAGCAGGGAAGAAAAAAAUGACGGUACCUGCAGAAGAAGCGACGGCUAAAUACGUG